RNAcentral lists this non-coding RNA (195 nucleotides) under Gemmatimonadota bacterium. RNAcentral's name for it is "Gemmatimonadetes bacterium 6S RNA". It matches the Rfam family "6S / SsrS RNA". Rfam says of the family: E. coli 6S RNA was the first non coding RNA to be sequenced, but its function was unknown until recently. It consists of 184 nucleotides that fold into an extended hairpin structure with a large single-stranded internal bulge. Lineage: Bacteria; Pseudomonadati; Gemmatimonadota. The record is from RNAcentral.
GAUUCCCCGCUGUCUUCGUGAUGAUUUGAAGGUACUUGAGCUAACAUUAAACACUAGGGAAUCCUAACUGGUAAAAGCGUGCACGCCCCCCUCGUAGAGGUUUAGGGGACGCAUUAAUUUACCAUACGGACAAACCACCGUAUCUAAAGUUUGGGUUCAAUGUUACUUUGAGUCACACGAGAUAGCGGGGUUUUU